GUUAAUGGCGGCUGUGAGCGGGAUACCUCCGGGUGUGUCGGGUCCCGGAAGUCCCGGUCGGCCAACCUGCGUACAGCCGUCACCUAU
Molecule: non-coding RNA, 87 nt
Filed under: Nocardioides sp. IMT03
Lineage: Bacteria; Bacillati; Actinomycetota; Actinomycetes; Propionibacteriales; Nocardioidaceae
Source: RNAcentral